This 1265-nucleotide long non-coding RNA is filed under the name Olea europaea subsp. europaea. The record is from RNAcentral. Lineage: Eukaryota; Viridiplantae; Streptophyta; Magnoliopsida; Lamiales; Oleaceae.
AUGAGAGAUCCUGGGUUCUUUCCUUCAUUGAGUAGUCAAGAAUACCUAUGAGAGUCCAGGCGUCUCGAAUGCCUUGGAAUCAAAAUUUUUUUUAUACAUACAUACUUCCAUUCCAGUGCCUCGAUUGUAAUAUAGCAAUUCAUAGUCAAUUACUACUCAGACUUUAUUGCUUACUAUGUGUUUUCUCUAUUUGCUUCAGCAGAACCUCUGCAAUAACAAGAUAGCCCACAAAAUCUUCAUCAGCAUCCACAAGAUUCAUCAAUUGAACUUCAAUAGCCACAGCAGAUCCACCAGUCCCCAGCAGUAGAGGAAUACCAUUAGUUGAAAUACAGCAGCAGGAGAUCCUGCCAUUGCGAUUCCAGGGCAAAUGCCAAAUGCAAAUAAGUUUCAGCAAGGAAUUGGAUGAGAGUUGGGACUCUUUAUUCAAUCGGUUGGAGCAGAUAAUGAUACGACGAGUAGGAGGAGACCGAGCAGAGUUCAAAAGGCCUAAUCAAAACAUACAUAUCCAUUGGGAAAAAUCCAGAUAUGUGGCUAUUUGAGGCAGAGCAAUAUCCAACCAUGAAUUGAGGAUUAUCAGAGAGUAAAAUGUAGAAGCCACCGUCACGUGCUUUGAUGGAGAGGCAUAGGCAUGGUAUCUAUGGAUAGAAGAUUGGGAAGAAUUGAAGAUUUUGAUGUUGGAUCGAUUUCGCUCCAUUGUUGAGGAAUCUCUAGUGAGUUAGUGUGGUGUGGUGGACGAGAAGACGAAGGUGAAAGAAAAGCCGUGUCAAUUGUAGAUAUCUCCAUCGCCAUCGCCGUCACCAAAGGAGGGGGAAAACUAUGAGCAUCAACUUGCUAAACUUCAAUUGCCGCUGGGAGAUGGUAUCAGAGAUGGAUCAAAACCUCCAAUACCCAAAUUUUUACAAUUGUAUAAAUUAUGUAGAUCUCAAAUUGAAGUACGAGCUAUGCCUAUUUCUUAGGGACAAAGAAAACUUCUCUAUUCAGCAUCAAGAAAGCACAAAGAGUUGUAGGUUAUAGUUCUCAAUAAAGAAACUAUGGAAUGGGAUCGAGAGCUUCGCGAAGAGUAGCGCAACAGUGUAGGAAGCGAUAGGAUGGAAGAUUAUGUGGAGCUUUUCCUAAAUACUCUAGAAAAUUUGAUUGCAAUGAUGACCAAAAAAGUACAAUAGGGAGUAAAGCAGCAGGAGGAAAAUGGUGAUAAUCAAGUAUGGUGUUAAACGCAAAUUUAAUUCGAAUAGCUAGUCUCACUUUGAAAUUUUGUACACGGGUGG